AUACUUAAACUUUUUUGCCUUCUCUACCUUGUAGUAUUAGCUUAAAAAUCAGUUAAUAUCUGAUAUGUCCCUUAUUUGGGGACCAUAUAUGAAAUUGUAUUUUGGAACGGGGAGAUGGAAUAGGGGCUUGCUCUGUCCCCUGCACGCAUCAACCUAGUAAUGCAGUAUCUCCAGGAAGGGUGCACUUCUC
Oncorhynchus nerka (sockeye salmon) is the source of this 190-nucleotide small nuclear RNA. RefSeq annotates it as U2 spliceosomal RNA. The record is from RefSeq and is a predicted model, not a curated record. The transcript has a single exon. NCBI's taxonomy places the organism in Eukaryota, Metazoa, Chordata, Actinopteri, Salmoniformes, Salmonidae.